GCCCCCGUGAGAAUGCCCUUGACCUCCUAAUGAAGGCAAGGAGCGGGUAUCAGGUACAAUUAUAAAUUCUUUGCCUACAACACCUCGCCAAGGCCACACCCCUACGGGUAUUCAGCAGUGAUUAAUAUUAAGAAAAUGAGUGAAAACUUGACUUAAUUAUAGCCAACCAGGGUUGGUAAAACUCGUGCCAGCCACCGCGGUUAUACGAGUAACCCCAGUUGAUAACAAACGGCGUAAAGGGUGGUUAGGAGUGUCAUUAAAGUAAAGCCGAACUUUUCCCGGACCGUAAAAAGUAUCCGGAAUUUGAAGCCCAUUUACGAAGGUAGCUUUAUAACUCUGACUCCACGAAGGCUAGCGAAACAAACCGGGAUUAGAUACCCCGUUAUGCCUAGCCCUAAACAAUGAUAUUCUCAUACAUUAAUAUCCGCCUGGUUACUACGAACAUUAGUUUGAAAACCAAAGGACUUGGCGGUGCUUUAAGCCCUUCUAGAGGAGCCUGUCCUGUAAUCGACAACCCCCGUUUAACCUCACCCUUUCUAGCCCCCUCCGCUUAUAUACCACCGUCGAAAGUUUACCCUGUGAAGGCACAAUAGUGAGCACAAUCGGUGAAAACCCAGAACGUCAGGUCAAGGUGUCGCGAAUGAAAGGGGAAGAGAUGGGCUACACUUGUUAUUUUAACAUAUACGGAAAUUACGCUGAAACAACGUAAUUGAAGGUGGAUUUAGUAGUAAGCUGGAAAUAGAGAGUCUAGCUGAAUAAGGCCCUAAAGCGCGCACACACCGCCCGUCACCCUCACCCGAUAUGUUUAAACAUACUCGCCUGGAGAGGAAAGUCGUAACAUGGUAAGUGCACCGGAAGGUGUGCUUGGU
RNAcentral lists this non-coding RNA (869 nucleotides) under Symphurus orientalis (pygmy tongue-sole). Its description in RNAcentral is "partial 12S rRNA". It matches the Rfam family "Bacterial small subunit ribosomal RNA", at positions 307 to 1521 of the family's 1533-position model. The record is from RNAcentral. Lineage: Eukaryota; Metazoa; Chordata; Actinopteri; Pleuronectiformes; Cynoglossidae.